GGUCUUCAUAACUCCAGUCAGUCCUUGGCCUCUGGGUUGAGAAAUCUAACCUGAUGUGCAAUUGCAGGUUCCCACCAGCAUGUCGCUAACAAUUUCCUGGGCCUUAUCAAAAAAAAAAAAAAGCCUUUGAAAAGUGGAAACAAAGCGUCAGACUCCAUUGUUGUUCUACUUUCAC
Molecule: long non-coding RNA, 175 nt
Organism: Chelonia mydas (Green sea turtle)
Lineage: Eukaryota; Metazoa; Chordata; Testudines; Cheloniidae
Exons: 3
Source: RefSeq, a predicted model, not a curated record